This 373-nucleotide ribosomal RNA is filed under the name uncultured bacterium. Its description in RNAcentral is "bacterial SSU rRNA". It matches the Rfam family "Bacterial small subunit ribosomal RNA", at positions 28 to 402 of the family's 1533-position model. The record is from RNAcentral.
GACGAACGCUGGCGGCGUGCUUAACACAUGCAAGUCGAGCGGUAAGGCCCUUUCGGGGGUACACGAGCGGCGAACGGGUGAGUAACACGUGGGUGACCUGCCCUUAGCUCUGGGAUAAGCCUGGGAAACUGGGUCUAAUACCGGAUAUGACUCCAUGACGCAUGUUGUGGGGUGGAAAGCCUUGUGCGGCUAGGGAUGGGCCCACGGCCUAUCAGCUUGUUGGUGGGGUGAUGGCCUACCAAGGCGACGACGGGUAGCCGGCCUGAGAGGGCGACCGGCCACACUGGGACUGAGACACGGCCCAGACUCCUACGGGAGGCAGCAGUGGGGAAUCUUGCGCAAUGGGCGAAAGCCUGACGCAGCGACGCCGCGU